Molecule: ribosomal RNA, 590 nt
Filed under: Carabus guadarramus
Lineage: Eukaryota; Metazoa; Arthropoda; Insecta; Coleoptera; Carabidae
Description: partial large subunit ribosomal RNA
Rfam family: Bacterial large subunit ribosomal RNA
Source: RNAcentral
UUUUAAAUGGCCGCAGUAUUUUGACUGUGCAAAGGUAGCAUAAUCAUUAGUUUUUUAAUUAAAAGCUUGUAUGAAAGGCUGGACGAGGUAAAAUCUGUCUCUAUUUAAAUUAUAAUAGAAUUUAACUUUUAAGUUAAAAGGCUUAAAUAUUAUUAAAAGACGAGAAGACCCUAUAGAUCUUUAUAAUUUAUUAAGUGAAAUUAAUUUAGAAAUAUUAAUAUUUUAUUUAAUGUAAUUAUUUUAUUGGGGUAAUAAAAAGAUUGUAUUAAUUCUUUUUUAUAAUAAACAUUGAUUUAUGAAUAUUAAUGAUCCAGUUUUACUGAUUAUAAGAUUAAGUUACCUUAGGGAUAACAGCGUAAUUUUUUUAGAGAGUUCAUAUCGAUAAAAAAGUUUGCGACCUCGAUGUUGGAUUAAAGAUUAUUUUAGGUGCAGAAGCUUAAUAAUUUUGGUCUGUUCGACCAUUAAAUCUUUACAUGAUCUGAGUUCAGACCGGCGUAAGCCAGGUCGGUUUCUAUCUUUAAUAAAAUAAAAUAUUUUAGUACGAAAGGACCAAAUAUUUGAUAUAUUUAUAUUUAAUUUAUUGAAUAUUA